RNAcentral lists this ribosomal RNA (497 nucleotides) under uncultured bacterium. Its description in RNAcentral is "partial 16S ribosomal RNA". It matches the Rfam family "Bacterial small subunit ribosomal RNA", at positions 28 to 507 of the family's 1533-position model. The record is from RNAcentral.
GAUGAACGCUGGCGGCGUGCCUAAUACAUGCAAGUCGAGCGAACAGACGAGGAGCUUGCUCCUCUGACGUUAGCGGCGGACGGGUGAGUAACACGUGGAUAACCUACCUAUAAGACUGGGAUAACUUCGGGAAACCGGAGCUAAUACCGGAUAAUAUAUUGAACCGCAUGGUUCAAUAGUGAAAGACGGGUUUGCUGUCACUUAUAGAUGGAUCCGCGCCGCAUUAGCUAGUUGGUAAGGUAACGGCUUACCAAGGCAACGAUGCGUAGCCGACCUGAGAGGGUGAUAGGCCACACUGGAACUGAGACACGGUCCAGACUCCUAUGGGAGGCAGCAGUAGGGAAUCUUCCGCAAUGGGCGAAAGCCUGACGGAGCAACGCCGCGUGAGUGAUGAAGGUCUUCGGAUCGUAAAACUCUGUUAUUAGGGAAGAACAAAUGUGUAAGUAACUAUGCACGUCUUGACGGUACCUAAUCAGAAAGCCACGGCUAACUACGUG